Molecule: transfer RNA, 107 nt
Organism: Pseudozyma hubeiensis SY62
Lineage: Eukaryota; Fungi; Basidiomycota; Ustilaginomycetes; Ustilaginales; Ustilaginaceae
Rfam family: tRNA
About the family: Transfer RNA (tRNA) molecules are approximately 80 nucleotides in length. Their secondary structure includes four short double-helical elements and three loops (D, anti-codon, and T loops). Further hydrogen bonds mediate the characteristic L-shaped molecular structure. tRNAs have two regions of fundamental functional importance: the anti-codon, which is responsible for specific mRNA codon recognition, and the 3' end, to which the tRNAs corresponding amino acid is attached (by aminoacyl-tRNA synthetases). tRNAs cope with the degeneracy of the genetic code in two manners: having more than one tRNA (with a specific anti-codon) for a particular amino acid; and 'wobble' base-pairing, i.e. permitting non-standard base-pairing at the 3rd anti-codon position.
Source: Rfam
GGCCCUUUAGCUCAGCGGUAGAGCGUCGGCUUCCAGUACAAAUCCUCCCCCGUGGACGCGCAGCUGGUAUCUUCCGAAGGUCAUCCGUUCAAAUCGGGUAGGGGUCA